CGGCGGACGGGUGAGUAACGCGUGGGUAACCUGCCUCAUACAGGGGGACAACAGUUAGAAAUGGCUGCUAAUACCGCAUAAGACCACAGUACUGCAUGGUACAGUGGUAAAAACUCCGGUGGUAUGAGAUGGACCCGCGUCUGAUUAGGUAGUUGGUGAGGUAACGGCCCACCAAGCCGACGAUCAGUAGCCGACCUGAGAGGGUGACCGGCCACAUUGGGACUGAGACACGGCCCAG
This 238-nucleotide ribosomal RNA is filed under the name uncultured bacterium. RNAcentral's name for it is "partial 16S ribosomal RNA". It matches the Rfam family "Bacterial small subunit ribosomal RNA", at positions 96 to 334 of the family's 1533-position model. The record is from RNAcentral.